This 106-nucleotide small nuclear RNA is filed under the name Pongo abelii (Sumatran orangutan). Lineage: Eukaryota; Metazoa; Chordata; Mammalia; Primates; Hominidae. The record is from RNAcentral.
AUGCUUGCUUUACCAGCACAUAUACUAAAAUUGGAAUGAUUAAAGAGAUUAACCUGGCCCCUGCGCAAGGAUGACAUGCAAAUUUUGUAAAGUGUUUUAUGUGGAA